This 497-nucleotide ribosomal RNA is filed under the name uncultured bacterium. RNAcentral describes it as "partial 16S ribosomal RNA". It matches the Rfam family "Bacterial small subunit ribosomal RNA", at positions 28 to 507 of the family's 1533-position model. The record is from RNAcentral.
GAUGAACGCUGGCGGCGUGCCUAAUACAUGCAAGUCGAGCGAACGGACGAGAAGCUUGCUUCUCUGAUGUUAGCGGCGGACGGGUGAGUAACACGUGGAUAACCUACCUAUAAGACUGGGAUAACUUCGGGAAACCGGAGCUAAUACCGGAUGAUAUUUUGAACCGCAUGGUUCAAAAGUGAAAGACGGUCUUGCUGUCACUUAUAGAUGGAUCCGCGCUGCAUUAGCUAGUUGGUAAGGUAACGGCUUACCAAGGCAACGAUGCAUAGCCGACCUGAGAGGGUGAUCGGCCACAAUGGAACUGAGACACGGUCCAGACUCCUAGGGGAGGCAGCAGUAGGGAAUCUUCCGCAAUGGGCGAAAGCCUGACGGAGCAACGCCGCGUGAGUGAUGAAGGUCUUCGGAUCGUAAAACUCUGUUAUUAGGGAAGAACAUAUGUGUAAGUAACUGUACACAUCUUGACGGUACCUAAUCAGAAAGCCACGGCUAACUACGUG